AACGAACGCUGGCGGCAGGCUUAACACAUGCAAGUCGAGCGCCCCGCAAGGGGAGCGGCAGACGGGUGAGUAACGCGUGGGAACGUACCUUUUGGUUCGGAACAACUCCGGGAAACUGGAGCUAAUACCGGAUAAGCCCUAACGGGGAAAGAUUUAUCGCCGAAAGAUCGGCCCGCGUCUGAUUAGCUAGUUGGUGAGGUAACGGCUCACCAAGGCGACGAUCAGUAGCUGGUCUGAGAGGAUGGUCAGCCACACUGGGACUGAGACACGGCCCAGACUCCUACGGGAGGCAGCAGUGGGGAAUAUUGGACAAUGGGCGCAAGCCUGAUCCAGCCAUGCCGCGUGAGUGAUGAAGGCCUUAGGGUUGUAAAGCUCUUUUGUCCGGGAAGAUAAUGACUGUACCGGAAGAAUAAGCCCCGGCUAACUUCGUG
This 431-nucleotide ribosomal RNA is filed under the name uncultured bacterium. RNAcentral describes it as "partial 16S ribosomal RNA". It matches the Rfam family "Bacterial small subunit ribosomal RNA", at positions 29 to 507 of the family's 1533-position model. The record is from RNAcentral.